This 174-nucleotide long non-coding RNA is filed under the name Mus musculus (house mouse). RNAcentral's name for it is "predicted gene, 17469". Lineage: Eukaryota; Metazoa; Chordata; Mammalia; Rodentia; Muridae. The record is from RNAcentral.
AGAGUGCCUGCAGCAUCUUCCAAAAACGGGGCUGGAGAUGCCAGUCACAAGUUCAAAGAAGAUCACACAGUGCCUGGGCCGUCUUCUGCUGGACAACAUGGACAGCAUGUUGGACAAGACUCCUCUGGUCAAGGGGACCUACAACAGGCCCCAUCAGACAAGGAGGGAUCCAAA